GAAAGAUUCAUCGGAAGAGGAUGGGCAUGCGGCGCAUUAGCUAGACGGCGGGGUAACGGCCCACCGUGGCGACGAUGCGUAGGGGUUCUGAGAGGAAGGUCCCCCACACUGGUACUGAGACACGGACCAGACUCCUACGGGAGGCAGCAGUGAGGAAUAUUGGUCAAUGGGAGAGAUCCUGAACCAGCCAAGCCGCGUGAGGGAAGACGGCCCUAUGGGUUGUAAACCUCUUUUGUCGGAGAACAAAACCCGGGACGUGUCCCGGACUGCGUGUAUCCGAAGAAAAAGCAUCGGCUAACUCCGUGCCAGCAGCCGCGGUAAUACGGAGGAUGCGAGCGUUAUCCGGAUUUAUUGGGUUUAAAGGGUGCGUAGGCGGUCCGUUAAGUCAGCGGUAAAAUUGCGGGGCUCAACCCCGUCGAGCCGUUGAAACUGGCAGACUUGAGUUGGCGAGAAGUACGCGGAAUGCGCGGUGUAGCGGUGAAAUGCAUAGAUAUCGCGCAGAACUCCGAUUGCGAAGGCAGCGUACCGGCGCCAGACUGACGCUGAGGCACGAAAGCGUGGGGAUCGAACAGGAUUAGAUACCCUGGUAGUCCACGCAGUAAACGAUG
This 608-nucleotide ribosomal RNA is filed under the name uncultured bacterium. RNAcentral's name for it is "bacterial SSU rRNA". It matches the Rfam family "Bacterial small subunit ribosomal RNA", at positions 202 to 811 of the family's 1533-position model. The record is from RNAcentral.